GACGAACGCUGGCGGCGUGCUUAACACAUGCAAGUCGAACGGAAAGGCCCUGCUUUUGUGGGGUGCUCGAGUGGCGAACGGGUGAGUAACACGUGAGUAACCUGCCCUUGACUUUGGGAUAACUUCAGGAAACUGGGGCUAAUACCGGAUAGGAGCUCCUGCUGCAUGGUGGGGGUUGGAAAGUUUCGGCGGUUGGGGAUGGACUCGCGGCUUAUCAGCUUGUUGGUGGGGUAGUGGCUUACCAAGGCUUUGACGGGUAGCCGGCCUGAGAGGGUGACCGGCCACAUUGGGACUGAGGUACGGCCCAGCCUCCUACGGGCGGCAGUAGUGGGGAAUAUUGCACAAUGGGCGGAAGCCUGAUGCAGCCACGCCGCGUGCGGGAUGACGGCCUUCGGGUUGUAAACCGCUUUCGCCUGUGACGAAGCGUGAGUGACGGUAAUGGGUAAAGAAGCACCGGCUAACUACGUG
Molecule: ribosomal RNA, 468 nt
Filed under: uncultured bacterium
Lineage: Bacteria
Description: partial 16S ribosomal RNA
Rfam family: Bacterial small subunit ribosomal RNA
Source: RNAcentral